CUUGAAGAUUCCCUGAAGCAUUGGGAAGCAGAACCCCUCUGUUCUGCCUGGGUGCAUUCACUUCCAGGAUACAGAGCCAUGCUUCUCAGCUCUCAUUCUGAUACUCUGACAUUCAGGAUCUUUGCUGCAAAAAGGGCUCGGCUUCCAUAAAGAAGUCAGGGAGUGCUCUUUCUGGCCCAAAUAAGUUUAACUAUCCUGAAGGAUAGGUGGCAGCUCAGUAUGGAGUUGCUAUUUUGUACACUGGUCUUUGUUUUUGCCUACACUUUGCUUUAGAUGCCUGCAUUCUUUAUUGGAUCUCACUCCUAAUUUUGUCUACAAAGUGCAGUAAAUUGGCUUACAGAAAUAUUGGAACUGGUUUCUCAGGAAGGUCUAAGUGGCAAUAAUUAUUUUUCCUCCUCGAACUGGCUGUUUGAGAUCUUCCCUUAAGAAUGAUUCUGUUCAGAGAAGUGUUUGAAAAAAAAUGGCAAUCGAACAAAUAUAUCCCAAGCUGUAUCUACUUCUUCAAUGUGAGCAAGUGCUGCACCUUGCAAUGUAUGAGGAAAGAGCUGCAUAGAGGAAAUGUGAUUUCUAG
This 571-nucleotide long non-coding RNA is filed under the name Apteryx owenii (little spotted kiwi). Its description in RNAcentral is "lncRNA (ENSAOWG00000007612.1)". Lineage: Eukaryota; Metazoa; Chordata; Aves; Apterygiformes; Apterygidae. The record is from RNAcentral.